GUUUGCCGCUGGCGUGGCCUGUGAGUCACGCCGAGCCCGAGCGCUGCCAUUGACUCUCCCCGAUCGUCGGUCCCGCAUUCCCGGUCAGCGCUCGGCCUGAGCCACUGCAGCAUCACUGGGGACGAGGCACUGCUUGUUAGGAGGCGGUGAAUGACGGCCUGCCGCUGCCUAGCGAGGCGGUCUUCUGCCGCGUACCUCGCGACGGGAUGCUUGGCUUGGGCUUCCCGGGCCACCAGAAGCUUCGCGUCCACGAAGAGCUCCACGCUGGACAGCCAGAAUUCAGCGUCGUCGUGUUCGAGCUUGGCCAGUUGGUCGGCCUUCUGCUUCCCAGUGGUGCCGCAGUGGUUGGGCACCCCUUCGAAGGCGAGGCCCUUGCCGGCGCCCGCACGAAGUGUAUGGAUUCCGUGCCGACUUUGAAGUUGAAGGAGGUUUAUACUGUGUUUGUGCGCGCGACGUGGAGUGUUUAAGACAGCUUCACUUGUGAUUGCGGUAUAUACCAGUGAUCUCGGAUUACAUGUUCAGGCUUGCUGUCUUCAUGUUGAGUACAUUAUACCUGCCCGAAGUUUUUCAACGGACGUUCGCCCUGUUGCCAGCUUCUAGUGUGCAAGCGUCGUGCAGUGGAGUCCUCGAUAAAUCGUAGCCUCGCCUAAACGUCAAGCGAGCAUUUAAUUUCGCUUAUCAUUUAAAGCCUACUUUUAGGCAUGGAUUUGUUUCGCAAGUCAUUUUGCACCUUGAACAAGGCCACAUUUUGUCUCUCGAACAAGCCCACGAAGAAGAGAGUGAGCGCGACUCAAGCCGUCCAGUUCUCGAUCGCUCGAUCGGCGGUUUUCGGGCGGAAAGAAAACGAAUUUCGAGCUGCGUAUUGUUUUUGGGGUAGGCUUUCGUGUACAAAUAGAAACCUUGGCUAGCAUAAAUACCCUGUCAGUGCCCCUUGAAGGGUCACAGUGUAGCUAGCCUACUUUUAUGUUUUACCUUCUCGAAAGUUUUUUUUUUUUUUUAUGAAUUUCUUUUAGCACAAUUUUUACGCCCUGUAUAAAGAUCAAUGCAUAUUCUGGAAGCUGACAUUUUUUAAAUAGAUUUUCUCUUUCAAAUAUGUGUUCUUGAAUAAAGUUUUUUUCUGUUGUCAUUCUUCCUUGCAUUUCGUAGAACUGCAUCUGUAAAUUGGCACAUAUACGUCUCCCUGUGCUAAGGAUAGUUUAAAUGUAAAUUCAUUAAAAACAGAAAUAUCUUUAAAAAAAUAAAGUUUGAGCAAAAAUUAAAUUUUGAAGCUUAUGCGGAACAAAUCGCCAGCAGUGGAACAAAACACUUCGAUUACUGCACUUAUGAAAGGUUUGUUAGUGCCGGCAGUUGGUUUUAAAAGCUUCCUAUUUUUAAUUUUUUACCUAAUAUGGUUCCAAUACCGAUAAAAUUGCACCGAAUGCAACAUUUAGUGCAACAUUAUCGGUAUAGGAACCAUCUUAGGUCAAAAAUUUAAAUAAAAAGGUUGUAAAACCAACUGGCGCCACUUACAAACCUUCCAUGAUUCCUGUAAUCGUAGAGUUUUCUUUCACUGCUUGAGAUUUGUUUUGAAUAAGCUUCAAAACUUAAAUUUUGCUUAAACUUUAUUUUUUAAGAUAUUUCUGUUUAUAAUAAGUUUGCUGGUGUUUUUAAAUACAGUUUUAUAUAGAUUCGUUUUACGAAUUCCUAAGUAACUUGAAGGAAGCUAAAAGUACAUUCGAAGCGCCAGCCCUACAUUUUGGAGUUCGCGAGAAGUAUGCCAAAGUUGCGUGAAGAAUACGAUAUAAAUACAUUCAAAGUGCCUGCCCUACGUUUUGGAGUUCAUGAGAAUUAUGACAAUAUUUCGUCAAGAAUGCGGUAAAAGUACAUUUGUAGUACGCUCAAGUGCGGCCAAUUAAAUUUCAACAAAAUUUGUGAAAAAUAUUUAUAUUAAGUUCCUCAUAAAUAUAUUCGAAAUAUGCGGUUUUUCGCCAAGGGUUGCUUGUUUCGUUUCUGUCGCAUUACUCAUUGCCCCCUUGGAAUUGCAUGAGGAGCAAUAUUCCUCUGUCGCACUUGCGCAAUAAACCAAUUUUAAUGACUCAAA
Molecule: long non-coding RNA, 2080 nt
Filed under: Ixodes scapularis (black-legged tick)
Lineage: Eukaryota; Metazoa; Arthropoda; Arachnida; Ixodida; Ixodidae
Description: uncharacterized LOC115318538
Source: RNAcentral